GACGAACGCUGGCGGCGUGCUUAACACAUGCAAGUCGAACGGUGAAGGGGUCUGCUUUUGUGGGCCCUGGAUGAGUGGCGAACGGGUGAGUAACACGUGAGUAACCUGCCCCCUUCUUCUGGAUAACCGCAUGAAAGUGUGGCUAAUACGGGAUAUUCUGGGUCUGUCGCAUGAUGGGUCUGGGAAAGAUUGCGCCUUUGGGUGUUUUUGGUGGGGGAUGGGCUCGCGGCCUAUCAGCUUGUUGGUGGGGUGAUGGCCUACCAAGGCGGUGACGGGUAGCCGGCCUGAGAGGGUGGACGGUCACACUGGGACUGAGACACGGCCCAGACUCCUACUGGAGGCAGCAGUGGGGAAUAUUGCACAAUGGGCGCAAGCCUGAUGCAGCGACGCCGCGUGAGGGAUGGAGGCCUUCGGGUUGUAAACCUCUUUCGCCAGUGAAGCAGGCCUGCUCCUUGUGGGUGGGUUGACGGUAGCUGGAUAAGAAGCGCCGGCUAACUACGUG
This 502-nucleotide ribosomal RNA is filed under the name uncultured bacterium. RNAcentral's name for it is "partial 16S ribosomal RNA". It matches the Rfam family "Bacterial small subunit ribosomal RNA", at positions 28 to 507 of the family's 1533-position model. The record is from RNAcentral.